UCUUCCCUCUUUCUUCGUGCCUAAUACAUGCAAGUCGAGCGAACAGACGAGGAGCUUGCUCCUUCGACGUUAGCGGCGGACGGGUGAGUAACACGUAGGUAACCUACCUAUAAGACUGGGAUAACUUCGGGAAACCGGAGCUAAUACCGGAUAAUAUUUCGAACCGCAUGGUUCGAUAGUGAAAGAUGGCUUUGCUAUCACUUAUAGAUGGACCUGCGCCGUAUUAGCUAGUUGGUAAGGUAACGGCUUACCAAGGCAACGAUACGUAGCCGACCUGAGAGGGUGAUCGGCCACACUGGAACUGAGACACGGUCCAGACUCCUACGGGAGGCAGCAGUAGGGAAUCUUCCGCAAUGGGCGAAAGCCUGACGGAGCAACGCCGCGUGAGUGAUGAAGGUCUUCGGAUCGUAAAACUCUGUUAUUAGGGAAGAACAAACGUGUAAGUAACUGUGCACGUCUUGACGGUACCUAAUCAGAAAGCCACGGCUAACUACGUG
Molecule: ribosomal RNA, 497 nt
Filed under: uncultured bacterium
Lineage: Bacteria
Description: partial 16S ribosomal RNA
Rfam family: Bacterial small subunit ribosomal RNA
Source: RNAcentral